AUCCAGCUGACGAGUCCCAAAUAGGAGGAAACGCGCGUCCUCGAU
Molecule: non-coding RNA, 45 nt
Organism: Schistosoma mansoni
Lineage: Eukaryota; Metazoa; Platyhelminthes; Trematoda; Strigeidida; Schistosomatidae
Source: Rfam